Prunus avium (sweet cherry) is the source of this 1569-nucleotide non-coding RNA. NCBI's taxonomy places the organism in Eukaryota, Viridiplantae, Streptophyta, Magnoliopsida, Rosales, Rosaceae. The record is from RefSeq and is a predicted model, not a curated record.
UGCUAUUUCCUUACCUUUUCCAAAUUAGGUUUUGGGUCCCAACAUUUGGUAUCAGAGCCAAGUUACGUCUUAUGGGCAAGAAACAUCAGGCGACUACCUCAAUAGAGGUCGUUGCCAUAGCGGAGGUAGAGCUUGACGUUCAAAAGGAGCUAUGGGAAGCCCAAAUCCACGAGGUGCAGAAUUUAGUGUCCACCAUGACCUUCAGACAAAUAUGACAGAAGUUUUGGAGACGCUAUUGUCUUUGACCACGCAAUAGGCUCAGCAAGUUGCCUUUUAGAAAAUGAUAAUGGACGAGCUACGUAAUUUACAAACACGAGCUCCGCAGCCAUCGUCCAUAUGAGUGGAUAGGCUAAGCUCAGUUUCACCAGCGCAACAGAGUCCGAUAUCCUCGCUGGGUCUAACGGUUUUUGGGACUUUCGUAGGCGAAGGACCCAACACGAUUCUCUCAAACACACUCCUCUAUUCCCAACCAUCCAAGAGAAUAUCGACAUCUAAUGUGGGUUUUUUCAUCACCAAUUCUGAUCAAUUUACCGCCCGUGGCCAUGGGGGCACCUUCUAAUCUGACUUUUCAGAGAGGAUCUUGUCUGAUUACAAGUCUGCCCUAUAUGGCCACAUCAAGCAACUAUACCACGCUACCUCCAUUUCCUUUUUUUUUUUCAACAUACACACCCUCCAUGGUUCAACCGCCGCCGUAUAUCCAUCCGUACUUAGUUCCAAUGAGUACGAUAUCACCAAACUUUCCUAAUCAUUCUUAAUCCAAUAUGAAGCUGAUGAAAUUGGAUAUGGGGUGGUUGGCUAUGGUGGAGCGUUUUCUGGAGUAUCACGAGGUACCCGAGCACAAAAAGGUCAUUGUGGCUGAAUGGGGGUACAAUUCCACUUACCACUCCGCCAUAACGAAGACUCCGUUUGAGGCUGUUUAUGGAAAAUCUCCUCCUUCCAUAAUUUCUUACAUACCUGGAACUUCUGAUGUGAAUGCAGUUGAUACAACACCGAGAGAGCGUGAUUCCAUACUUUACCAACUUCGCCAGACCUUGUUGACGGCUCAAGAAAGGAUGAAGUAUUUUGCAUAUAAACACAGGACUGAGCGUGAAUUUCAUAUAGGUGACUGGGUGUAUUUGUAGCUCCAAACGAAUCGCCAAGCCACUCUCCGCGGCUCUCAGUCUCCUAAACUCGCUCUUCGCAAUUACGUCAGUUGGACACCCGCCAAAAUCCUGGAUUGAGGCAUUUUCAAGCGUCAAAACAAGCAUGUGACUUGAUGGCUGAUACAAUGGGCAUGCUUACCCACUGAGGAUGCUACAUGGGAGGAUGCAUUGGACAUUGAAACCCAUUUUCCUUCCUUCCAAACUUGAGAGCAGGUUUAUUCUUAGGGGGCUGGAUUGUUAGGACCCUAUCACUAGUUUAUCACCUAUCUAUUUCCAAUAAGAAUAAAGGCUAGUAGUGUUCCUUAUUUGUAGGUAAUUAGUUGUCAUCUGGCUGGCUUGUGGCCAUUUGGCAUUUGAGAGUCUGUAUAUAUCCUUCUCGUUGUUUCUGAGAAAGGCAUGAAAUGAAAAAUUUGUUUUCUUCCUUUUA